GGGAGGCAGCAGUGAGGAAUAUUGGUCAAUGGACGAGAGUCUGAACCAGCCAAGUAGCGUGAAGGAUGACUGCCUAUGGGUUGUAAACUUCUUUUAUACGGGAAUAAGUGAGGCACGUGUGCCUUUUUGUAUGUACCGUAUGAAUAAGGAUCGGCUAACUCCGUGCCAGCAGCCGCGGUAAUACGGAGGAUCCGAGCGUUAUCCGGAUUUAUUGGGUUUAAAGGGAGCGUAGGCGGACGCUUAAGUCAGUUGUGAAAGUUUGCGGCUCAACCGUAAAAUUGCAGUUGAUACUGGGUGUCUUGAGUACAGUAGAGGCAGGCGGAAUUCGUGGUGUAGCGGUGAAAUGCUUAGAUAUCACGAAGAACUCCGAUUGCGAAGGCAGCCUGCUGGACUGUAACUGACGCUGAUGCUCGAAAGUGUGGGU
RNAcentral lists this ribosomal RNA (424 nucleotides) under uncultured bacterium. RNAcentral describes it as "bacterial SSU rRNA". It matches the Rfam family "Bacterial small subunit ribosomal RNA", at positions 343 to 766 of the family's 1533-position model. The record is from RNAcentral.